This 826-nucleotide ribosomal RNA is filed under the name uncultured bacterium. RNAcentral describes it as "bacterial SSU rRNA". It matches the Rfam family "Bacterial small subunit ribosomal RNA", at positions 95 to 933 of the family's 1533-position model. The record is from RNAcentral.
GUGGCGAACGGGUGAGGAACACGUGAAGAAUCUGCCCUCCACUUUGGGAUAACACCGGGAAACCGGUGCUAAUACCGAAUAUUGAAACAUAAGUGGCAUCACUGAGUUUUGAAAGAAUUUCGGUGGAGGAUGACUUCGCGGCCUAUCAGCUAGUUGGUGAGGUAAUAGCUCACCAAGGCAACGACGGGUAGCCGGCCUGAGAGGGCGACCGGCCACACUGGGACUGAGACACGGCCCAGACUCCUACGGGAGGCAGCAGUGGGGAAUAUUGGGCAAUGGAGGAAACUCUGACCCAGCGACGCCGCGUGCGGGAUGAAGGCCUUCGGGUUGUAAACCGCUUUCAGCAGGGAAUAAGCGCAAGUGAAGGUACCUGCAGAAGAAGCACCGGCUAACUAUGUGCCAGCAGCCGCGGUAAUACAUAGGGUGCAAGCGUUGUCCGGAAUUAUUGGGCGUAAAGAGCUCGUAGGUGGUUUGUUACGUCGGUUGUGAAAUUCAGGGGCUCAACCCCUGACUUGCAGCCGAUACGGGCAAGCUAGAGUUUGGUAGGGGAGACUGGAAUUCCUGGUGUAGCGGUGGAAUGCGCAGAUAUCAGGAGGAACACCGAUGGCGAAGGCAGGUCUCUGGGCCAAUACUGACACUGAGGAGCGAAAGCGUGGGGAGCGAACAGGAUUAGAUACCCUGGUAGUCCACGCCGUAAACGGUGGGCGCUAGUUGUGCGAACCUUCCACGGUUUGUGCGACGCAGCUAACGCAUUAAGCGCCCCGCCUGGGGAGUACGAUCGCAAGAUUAAAACUCAAAGGAAUUGACGGGGCCCCGCACAAGCAGC